AGUGAACGCUGGCGGUAGGCCUAACACAUGCAAGUCGAACGGCAGCACAGUAAGAGCUUGCUCUUACGGGUGGCGAGUGGCGGACGGGUGAGGAAUACAUCGGAAUCUACUUUUUCGUGGGGGAUAACGUAGGGAAACUUACGCUAAUACCGCAUACGACCUACGGGUGAAAGCAGGGGGUCUUCGGACCUUGCGCGAUUGAAUGAGCCGAUGUCGGAUUAGCUAGUUGGCGGGGUAAAGGCCCACCAAGGCGACGAUCCGUAGCUGGUCUGAGAGGAUGAUCAGCCACACUGGAACUGAGACACGGUCCAGACUCCUACGGGAGGCAGCAGUGGGGAAUAUUGGACAAUGGACGCAAGCCUGAUCCAGCCAUACCGCGUGGGUGAAGAAGGCCUUCGGGUUGUAAAGCCCUUUUGUUGGGAAAGAAAAGCAGCAGGUUAAUACCCCGCUGUUCUGACGGUACCCAAAGAAUAAGCACCGGCUAACUUCGUG
This 492-nucleotide ribosomal RNA is filed under the name uncultured bacterium. RNAcentral describes it as "partial 16S ribosomal RNA". It matches the Rfam family "Bacterial small subunit ribosomal RNA", at positions 29 to 507 of the family's 1533-position model. The record is from RNAcentral.